RNAcentral lists this ribosomal RNA (254 nucleotides) under uncultured bacterium. RNAcentral's name for it is "partial 16S ribosomal RNA". It matches the Rfam family "Bacterial small subunit ribosomal RNA", at positions 524 to 776 of the family's 1533-position model. The record is from RNAcentral.
UACGAAGGGGGCUAGCGUUGUUCGGAAUCACUGGGCGUAAAGCGCACGCAGGCGGAUCGUUAAGUCAGGGGUGAAAUGCCGAGGCUCAACCUCGGAACUGCCUUUGAUACUGGCGAUCUUAGAGUCCGGGAGAGGUGAGUGGAACUCCGAGUGUAGAGGUGAAAUUCGUAGAUAUUGGGAAGAACACCGGUGGCGAAGGCGGCUCUCUGGACCGAUACUGACGCUGAGGCGCGAAAGCGUGGGGAGCAAACAGG